UUUAAGUAUAGUUGUGGGUUUCAGUGCUCAACGUUUGACCGUCCGUUUUAUUGGAAAUUCUUUUAUGAUUUAUUGUUAUUAGAUGAUAAAACAUGAAUAAUAUUUUAUACGUGACUUAUUUUUUAAUUUUUUAAUAAACUUUUUAAAUAAGACGAACGAUCAAGUUGGGUCGCACUUAAA
Non-coding RNA from Oryza punctata, 180 nucleotides. The record is from Rfam. NCBI's taxonomy places the organism in Eukaryota, Viridiplantae, Streptophyta, Magnoliopsida, Poales, Poaceae.